Molecule: ribosomal RNA, 261 nt
Filed under: uncultured archaeon
Lineage: Archaea
Description: partial 16S ribosomal RNA
Rfam family: Archaeal small subunit ribosomal RNA
Source: RNAcentral
CAGCCGUAAACUAUGCGCGUUAGGUGUAUCGGUGACCACGAGUUACCGAGGUGCCGAAGGGAAACCGUGAAACGUGCCGCCUGGGAAGUACGGUCGCAAGGCUGAAACUUGAAGGAAUUGGCGGGGGAGCACCACAACGGGUGGAGCCUGCGGUUUAAUUGGACUCAACGCCGGGAAGCUCACCGGAUAAGACAGCGGAAUGAUUGCCGGGCUGAAGACUCUGCAUGACUAGCUGAGAGGAGGUGCAUGGCGUAGACGUCU